AUUGAACGCUGGCGGCAGGCCUAACACAUGCAAGUCGAGCGGAUGAAGGGAGCUUGCUCCUGGAUUCAUCGGCGGACGGGUGAGUAAUGCCUAGGAAUCUGCCUGGUAGUGGGGGAUAACGUCCGGAAACGGGCGCUAAUACCGCAUACGUCCUGAGUGGGAAAGUGGGGGAUCUUCGGACCUCACGCUAUCAGAUGAGCCUAGGUCGGAUUAGCUAGUUGGUGGGGUAAAGGCCUACCAAGGCGACGAUCCGUAACUGGUCUGAGAGGAUGAUCAGUCACACUGGAACUGAGACACGGUCCAGACUCCUACGGGAGGCAGCAGUGGGGAAUAUUGGACAAUGGGCGAAAGCCUGAUCCAGCCAUGCCGCGUGUAUGAAGAAGGUCUUCGGAUUGUAAAGCACUUUAAGUUGGGAGGAAGGGCAGUAAGUUAAUACCUUGCUGUUUUGACGUUACCAACAGAAUAAGCACCGGCUAACUUCGUG
RNAcentral lists this ribosomal RNA (484 nucleotides) under uncultured bacterium. Its description in RNAcentral is "partial 16S ribosomal RNA". It matches the Rfam family "Bacterial small subunit ribosomal RNA", at positions 30 to 507 of the family's 1533-position model. The record is from RNAcentral.